GACGAACGCUGGCGGCGUGCUUAACACAUGCAAGUCGAGCGGUAAGGCCUCUUCGGGGGUACACGAGCGGCGAACGGGUGAGUAACACGUGGGUGACCUGCCCUCAGCUCUGGGAUAAGCCUGGGAAACUGGGUCUAAUACCGGAUAUGACCACAUGUUGCAUGGUGUGUGGUGGAAAGUUUUUUCGGCUGGGGAUGGGCCCGCGGCCUAUCAGCUUGUUGGUGGGGUGAUGGCCUACCAAGGCGACGACGGGUAGCCGGCCUGAGAGGGCGACCGGCCACACUGGAACUGAGACACGGCCCAGACUCCUACGGGAGGCAGCAGUGGGGAAUAUUACGUAAUGGGAGGAAGCCAGACGCAGCGACGCCGCGUGGGGGAUAACGGCCUUCGGGUUGGAAUCCUCUUUCGACCGGGACGAAGCGUAAGUGACGGUACCGGUAGAAGAAGCACCGGCCAACUACGUG
This 464-nucleotide ribosomal RNA is filed under the name uncultured bacterium. Its description in RNAcentral is "partial 16S ribosomal RNA". It matches the Rfam family "Bacterial small subunit ribosomal RNA", at positions 28 to 507 of the family's 1533-position model. The record is from RNAcentral.